ACGAGCUAAUGGGUUUACUGCGCAACGGCAUUUUUGAACUUCUACGGUUUACCUUAGCUAGCCGAGAAUCGACUGUGCAUCUUCCUCAUUCUGUUCCCAGCCUCGACUCGACAACCACCUCAAAAAUGGAAAAAUUUUACACGGCUUCUAGUUCUAGACCGCUUGUAUUCUACAGUCCACGUAGAGUAAGCGACGUUGAACUUGGUUUAGAUUUUUACCCAGAAACCCAAAGGACAUUUUUAUUAAGACUUAGAGAUGUUGUACACUAUUCCUUUCAAAGGCUUGCGGCAUUUAUUCUAUGAUGUUUCUGUUUAAACAUAAGAUACCUCAAUGAAUUGAAUCAUGUAAUAUUUGAUAGCUGAUUACUUGGUUCACUGGAUACUUCAAACUGCAGCUAAUCAGGUCUGUUGCUGAACAAAACUGUUGAGAGUUUAUGCUGCAGAGAAUGCAGACAUCCUGUAAAAACACUAGUCAAGGUAAAUUCUACCUCUAUAUGUAUUUUGCUUCUGUAAAUUUUUAUUGCACUUGUUUGUUUGUAACUUUAUUCUUAAAUGGUGCUAGAGCCAUUAUUAUGAUGUAUUUUAUCUUAGGACACCUUCAGAAAACAGAUUGACACUGUUUUAUGAGAAUAUAUAGUUAAACUCUGAAUAAAUUAAUUUAAAAAUAAAAAUUUAUAUACUU
Molecule: long non-coding RNA, 681 nt
Filed under: Trichogramma pretiosum
Lineage: Eukaryota; Metazoa; Arthropoda; Insecta; Hymenoptera; Trichogrammatidae
Description: uncharacterized LOC106653114, transcript variant X2
Source: RNAcentral